Molecule: long non-coding RNA, 306 nt
Filed under: Sorghum bicolor (sorghum)
Lineage: Eukaryota; Viridiplantae; Streptophyta; Magnoliopsida; Poales; Poaceae
Description: long non-coding RNA (SBIC_LNC017314)
Source: RNAcentral
UCCAUCCACUCAAUGGUGAUAGCACAUGGAUUUUUAAUACCCUCUAGCCAUUGAUGUUGCUCUUCUCGAUCCUCCUUGUGGUCUUGGUGACUCUUAUGCUUGGGAUGUCUAGAGAGAUUCAUAGGAUUAUCGGGAGGUUCAAUAGAAAGAGCAUAGUAGAAAUUAUUAGGCUCAAGGAUGGGUUUAAAGAUAGGUUCGAAUGAGUCAUCAAAAGUGGGCGUAGAAGGGGAGAAGAUGAGAUUGUCUUCUAAAUGGCUUCGCUCUCCUUCUAUUGCAUCACUUAAGAUGCCAUUCUUGAUUCUUUCU